This is a long non-coding RNA of Equus asinus (donkey), 1611 nucleotides long. The record is from Ensembl. NCBI's taxonomy places the organism in Eukaryota, Metazoa, Chordata, Mammalia, Perissodactyla, Equidae.
GAGGCAGGAAGGGAAGAGGAGGUGGGUCUUAGAAGUGAUUGAUAAACCAGUAGGUUAUGAUAAGGCCAAUAGAUGGUCAGGAUAAUCCAGCUUGGAUCAUGAAGGUCAGACAAGUUCACCAAUCCGAGAGGAGGUGAUAGAUCCGCCACCUCUCCCCAACCCUCCAGGUCAGCGCAGUCCGGGAGGACCCCAUGGGUGGGCAAGAGCUCAGAAGAAGGCCUGCCCCCCUUCCCACCCCUACACCCCAGGUCUCCGUCCCUCAAGCCAGGAGACUCUUAACUGUCUUUGCUGUUUAUAUAUAUAUAUAUUAUAUAUAAAUAUCUAUUUAUCUGUCUGAGCCCUGCCCCCACCCACUCCCCUCUUGCAUUAGGGGCCUGAUCUUGAGUGGGCCCCUCUCUAACCCCUACCCCUUCCCCUGCACCCCUUGGCCCUUCUCUGUUCCCUGGCCCUGGGCCCGGAGGUUGAGGGGCUCUGAAAGGGAGACAGUGAGGAGACAGACCUCGGUUGUGUGGGGAGGGUAAGAGUGACUUCAGACCCUCUCCCCUUCUCCUUCCCCUCCUCCCACUCUGGCCUUGAUUCCUCCAGCAAUGCCUGAACAGGGGCCAUUAAGGGAAAUUCAACCCUGAAGCGGGGAGAAAGGCAGAGACUGGGGGUGCUUGGGACCCAAGGUGGUCUUAGAGAGGAGCUGGAGUCAAGGGGACUAGUAACCAGAGGGGUUAGGUUCCACACGUACCUGAUCUGGAGCCUAAAGAAGAGGGGUGCCCUAGAGCAUUUCGGAUUGAGCUGGGAAGGAGGUUGAGGGCGUGGUUCUAGAAGGGGCGGAACUUUGAGUGAGGCUGCACGUGGGCCCCAGAGUGGGCACGGCUGGGAGUAGGAGAAGGUUCUACAAAAGGGGUGUGACAAGGAGCCUGGGGACAGGGUCUGGAAGAACAUAGAGGGCUGGUUCUAGAAGGGGUGGGGCUUUAACCAGGGAAUGGGUAAGGCUCCACAGUGGGCGGGUCUUGGAUUGCGGCUAGAGUCUAUGGAAGGGGUGGGGCUGGAACAUUCUGGAAUGCCCCGUCCCAUAGGGCAGUGAAGAAAACAUGUUUGAGAGUGGGCGGGUUUGGCAGUGUGGUGGGAGGAGGCUUGCCUGGGGGCUGCGGGAUGGGUUUUGUUGGGGGGGGAAGUAGUAUCUCUGGCUAAGGCUGGGGACUCAGGUGCCCUGGGAAGAGCAGAGAGGUAUGGCUUGGAGGGUAAGGGGUGAGAUCCAGAGAGAAGUCCCCCCCCCCCCACACACACACCCUUGCUCAUCCCUGCGGCGGAACAGCUAGGUAAUCAGAGGACAGAGUCAAGGGAUCUGUGGGGCCGACCCACCCCCUCCACCCUCCUUCCCCUGCCUCCUCCCUCCCUCCACACCCCAACCCGUCCCGGGGUGGCUGGAGACCCGGUCUGGAGCCCCUGUCCUGCACCCUCUGCUGUGUCUGUGACGUCGGUAGUGCCUGUGAUCGUGUGUUGCCAUUUUGUCUGGCUGUGGCCCCUCCCCCUCUCCUCCAGACUACCCCCCCCUUUCCCGCGCCCUUCUAUUGUUUGUAGACUCCCUCCCCGAGGAAGAACAAAUACGAUUAAUUCUCC